RNAcentral lists this ribosomal RNA (252 nucleotides) under uncultured bacterium. RNAcentral's name for it is "partial 16S ribosomal RNA". It matches the Rfam family "Bacterial small subunit ribosomal RNA", at positions 524 to 776 of the family's 1533-position model. The record is from RNAcentral.
UACGUAGGUGGCAAGCGUUGUCCGGAUUUACUGGGUGUAAAGGCGCGUAGGCGGGCUCGUAAGUCAGACGUGAAAUACCGGGGCUCAACCCCGGGGCUGCGUUUGAAACUGCGAGUCUUGAGUGCCGGAGAGGAAAGCGGAAUUCCUAGUGUAGCGGUGAAAUGCGUAGAUAUUAGGAGGAACACCAGUGGCGAAGGCGGCCUGCUGGACAGUAACUGACGUUGAGGCUCGAAAGCGUGGGGAGCAAACAGG